This 230-nucleotide ribosomal RNA is filed under the name uncultured bacterium. RNAcentral describes it as "partial 16S ribosomal RNA". It matches the Rfam family "Bacterial small subunit ribosomal RNA", at positions 562 to 791 of the family's 1533-position model. The record is from RNAcentral.
AAAGCGUGUGCAGGCGGUUUUGUAAGACUGUCGUGAAAUCCCCGGGCUCAACCUGGGAAUGGCGAUGGUGACUGCAAGGCUAGAGUUUGGCAGAGGGGGGUAGAAUUCCACGUGUAGCAGUGAAAUGCGUAGAUAUGUGGAGGAACACCGAUGGCGAAGGCAGCCCCCUGGGUCAAAACUGACGCUCAUGCACGAAAGCGUGGGGAGCAAACAGGAUUAGAUACCCUUGU